CCAGACUCCUACGGGAGGCAGCAGUCGGGAAUAUUGCGCAAUGGAGGAAACUCUGACGCAGUGACGCCGCGUAUAGGAAGAAGGUUUUCGGAUUGUAAACUAUUGUCCACAGGGAGGAAAAAAGACUGUACCUGUGAAGAAAGCUCCGGCUAACUACGUGCCAGCAGCCGCGGUAAUACGUAGGGAGCAAGCGUUGUCCGGAAUUACUGGGUGUAAAGGGAGCGUAGGCGGGAUGGCAAGUUGGGUGUUAAAACUACCGGCUCAACUGGUAGUCGCACUCAAAACUGCUAUUCUUGAGUGAAGUAGAGGCAGGCGGAAUUCCUAGUGUAGCGGUGAAAUGCGUAGAUAUUAGGAGGAACACCAGUGGCGAAGGCGGCCUGCUGGGCUUUUACUGACGCUGAGGCUCGAAAGUGUGGGGAGCAAACAGGAUUAGAUACCCUCGUACCA
RNAcentral lists this ribosomal RNA (447 nucleotides) under uncultured bacterium. RNAcentral's name for it is "partial 16S ribosomal RNA". It matches the Rfam family "Bacterial small subunit ribosomal RNA", at positions 331 to 797 of the family's 1533-position model. The record is from RNAcentral.